AGAGUUUGAUCAUGGCUCGAGGACGACGCUGGCGGCGUGCUUAACACAUGCAAGUCGGACGGGGUUCUUUUGAUCAGCUUGCUGAAUGAGAGGACCUAGUGGCAAACGGGUGAGUAACGCGUAGGCAACCUGCCUUUCUGAUGGGGACAACAUCCCGAAAGGGGUGCUAAUACCGAAUGAUGUAUGUUUCCCGCAUGGGAAAGAUACCAAAGAUGGCCUCUGCUUGUAAGCUAUCGCAGAAAGAUGGGCCUGCGUCUGAUUAGCCAGUUGGUGAGGUAACGGCUCACCAAGGCGACGAUCGGUAGCCGAUCUGAGAGGAUGACCGGCCACAUUGGGACUGAGACACGGCCCAGACUCC
RNAcentral lists this ribosomal RNA (358 nucleotides) under uncultured Veillonellaceae bacterium. RNAcentral describes it as "bacterial SSU rRNA". It matches the Rfam family "Bacterial small subunit ribosomal RNA", at positions 8 to 339 of the family's 1533-position model. The record is from RNAcentral. Lineage: Bacteria; Bacillati; Bacillota; Negativicutes; Veillonellales; Veillonellaceae.